This 76-nucleotide transfer RNA is filed under the name Candidatus Saccharimonadota bacterium. RNAcentral's name for it is "tRNA-His". It matches the Rfam family "tRNA". Rfam says of the family: Transfer RNA (tRNA) molecules are approximately 80 nucleotides in length. Their secondary structure includes four short double-helical elements and three loops (D, anti-codon, and T loops). Lineage: Bacteria; Candidatus Saccharimonadota. RNAcentral also lists the same sequence under 1 other name. The record is from RNAcentral.
GUGGACGUAGCUCAGUUGGUAGAGCGCCGGGUUGUGGUCCCGUAGGUCGUGGGUUCGAGACCCAUCGUCCACACCA